AGCGCAGGCGGUUAGAUAAGUCUGAAGUUAAAGGCUGUGGCUUAACCAUAGUACGCUUUGGAAACUGUUUAACUUGAGUGCAAGAGGGGAGAGUGGAAUUCCAUGUGUAGCGGUGAAAUGCGUAGAUAUAUGGAGGAACACCGGUGGCGAAAGCGGCUCUCUGGCUUGUAACUGACGCUGAGGCUCGAAAGCGUGGGGAGCAAACA
Molecule: ribosomal RNA, 206 nt
Filed under: uncultured Streptococcus sp.
Lineage: Bacteria; Bacillati; Bacillota; Bacilli; Lactobacillales; Streptococcaceae
Description: partial 16S ribosomal RNA
Rfam family: Bacterial small subunit ribosomal RNA
Source: RNAcentral